GUAAAAUAACCGUAGAAGUACAAAUUUAAUAUCGAUACAAGUUCAAACCUCAAAAUGGCACAGGCUUUUCGAGGAAUGGGGUCAAUCUAAGCACCGCUGCAGUUGACGAUGAAAGGUUUAACAAACUUGAUGAAUUCUGAAGUCCUCACCCCCAGUUUAAGAUCAAUCUCACCGCCUCCUAACCAGAAGAAGUCAGGGCUGAGUUUGGC
Molecule: unclassified non-coding RNA, 209 nt
Filed under: Hevea brasiliensis (rubber tree)
Lineage: Eukaryota; Viridiplantae; Streptophyta; Magnoliopsida; Malpighiales; Euphorbiaceae
Source: RNAcentral